CCCGACUUCUUCUUCCUUUCCAUCGCUUGUCGGACCCCGACACUAAGGCCGCCUCAACUGCUGAAAUUUGCCGCUCGUCAGGUUCUCGAACCAGAUCCAGAUAUCUGGGAUCCAUUAGAAUUCGGAUCUAAUAUUUCAAGGUCAGAUCCAUUGGAUAUUCAUAUCCGAAUCUAAUACCAAUAAUGAAGAUCGAGUCUGGAUCUGAAUAUC
This 210-nucleotide long non-coding RNA is filed under the name Elaeis guineensis (African oil palm). Its description in RNAcentral is "long non-coding RNA (EGUI_LNC001583)". Lineage: Eukaryota; Viridiplantae; Streptophyta; Magnoliopsida; Arecales; Arecaceae. The record is from RNAcentral.